GAGUUUGAUCCUGGCUCAGGACGAACGCUGGCGGCGUGCUUAACACAUGCAAGUCGAGCGGAAAGGCCCUUUCGGGGGUACUCGAGCGGCGAACGGGUGAGUAACACGUGAGUAAUCUGCCCUCUACUUUGGGAUAACUCUCGGAAACGGGAGCUAAUACCGGAUAUGACCAUGGUGCGCAUGUGCUGUGGUGGAAAGUUUUUUCGGUAGGGGAUGUGCUCGCGGCCUAUCAGCUUGUUGGUGGGGUAAUGGCCUACCAAGGCUUUGACGGGUAGCCGGCCUGAGAGGGUGACCGGCCACACUGGGACUGAGACACGGCCCAGACUCCUACGGGAGGCAGCAGUGGGGAAUAUUGGACAAUGGGCGGAAGCCUGAUCCAGCAACGCCGCGUGAGGGAUGACGGCCUUCGGGUUGUAAACCUCUUUCAGCAUUGACGAAGCUGCUCUUUUGGGUGGUGACGGUAGGUGCAGAAGAAGGACCGGCCAACUACGUGCCAGCAGCCGCGGUAAUACGUAGGGUCCGAGCGUUGUCCGGAAUUAUUGGGCGUAAAGGGCUCGUAGGCGGUUUGUCGCGUCGGGAGUGAAAACACCGGGCUUAACUCGGUGCUUGCUUCCGAUACGGGCAGACUGGAGGUAUGCAGGGGAGAACGGAAUUCCUGGUGUAGCGGUGAAAUGCGCAGAUAUCAGGAGGAACACCGGUGGCGAAGGCGGUUCUCUGGGCAUUACCUGACGCUGAGGAGCGAAAGUGUGGGGAGCGAACAGGAUUAGAUACCCUGGUAGUCCACACCGUAAACGUUGGGCGCUAGGUGUGGGAUCCAUUCCACGGGUUCCGUGCCGUAGCUAACGCAUUAAGCGCCCCGCCUGGGGGAGUAC
Molecule: ribosomal RNA, 872 nt
Filed under: uncultured bacterium
Lineage: Bacteria
Description: bacterial SSU rRNA
Rfam family: Bacterial small subunit ribosomal RNA
Source: RNAcentral